AUUGAACGCUGGCGGCAGGCCUAACACAUGCAAGUCGAACGAGUGGCGGACGGGUGAGUAAUGUCUGGGAAACUGCCUGAUGGAGGGGGAUAACUACUGGAAACGGUAGCUAAUACCGCAUACCAUCAGAUGUGCCCAGAUGGGAUUAGCUAGUUGGUGGGGUAACGGCUCACCAAGGCGACGAUCCCUAGCUGGUCUGAGAGGAUGACGCGCCAAACUGAAACGGGGACACGGUACAGACGCGUAAGGGAGACAGAAGUGGGGAAUAUGCAACGAAGGGGGAAAGCCUGAUGCAGCCAGGCCGGGUGUAUGAAGAAGGCCUUCGGGUUGUAAAGUACUUUCAGCGGGGAGGCGUUACCCGCAGAAGAAGCACCGGCUAACUCCGUGCCAGCAGCCGAGGAAAUAC
This 406-nucleotide ribosomal RNA is filed under the name uncultured bacterium. RNAcentral describes it as "partial 16S ribosomal RNA". It matches the Rfam family "Bacterial small subunit ribosomal RNA", at positions 29 to 526 of the family's 1533-position model. The record is from RNAcentral.